AUUGAACGCUAGCGGGAUGCUUUACACAUGCAAGUCGAACGGCAGCACGAAAAGAGCUUGCUCUUUUUGGUGGCGAGUGGCGAACGGGUGAGUAAUGUAUCGGAACGUACCCAGUAGCGGGGGAUAACUACGCGAAAGCGUGGCUAAUACCGCAUACGCCCUACGGGGGAAAGGGGGGGAUCGCAAGACCUCUCACUAUUGGAGCGGCCGAUAUCGGAUUAGCUAGUUGGUGGGGUAAAGGCUCACCAAGGCAACGAUCCGUAGCUGGUUUGAGAGGACGACCAGCCACACUGGGACUGAGACACGGCCCAGACUCCUACGGGAGGCAGCAGUGGGGAAUUUUGGACAAUGGGGGAAGCCCUGAUCCAGCCAUCCCGCGUGUGCGAUGAAGGCCUUCGGGUUGUAAAGCACUUUUGGCAGGGAAGAAACGGCGCUGACUAAUACUUGGCGCAACUGACGGUACCUGCAGAAUAAGCACCGGCUAACUACGUG
This 492-nucleotide ribosomal RNA is filed under the name uncultured bacterium. Its description in RNAcentral is "partial 16S ribosomal RNA". It matches the Rfam family "Bacterial small subunit ribosomal RNA", at positions 30 to 507 of the family's 1533-position model. The record is from RNAcentral.